GAGGUUAAGUGAGUAGAGAAGCAGAUUCCUCCUCUAUGGCCAGUGCUAAAAGAAGUGAUGUUAGCAAAAAGUCCUAACGAAUACCAUGAUGAAAGAGGGUGAAGCAAGGGAGACCAUAUAAGAGUGUACUGGAAUAACCCAGGAGUGAGAUGGAUGUGGAAGGGAUUCAGCUCAGACGGUCUCACCUUCAGACCUGCCUCCAGUGUCACCAGUACUCAGUGAAAGAACUUUGCCAUGAACACUCUGCAAUGUAUGAAGAGGGCUCUUUAUAUUUGUCCUGCAGCAUGUAUCACACUAUAUUCUAAUAGUCUGCUAAUUUGCUUGAGAAUUCGACAGUCUUUUGUUCUUCUCUCAGGCCAAAUGAAAUAUGUCUUUCUUAUUUUGUACCAAUAAAAAGCCUC
Molecule: long non-coding RNA, 401 nt
Filed under: Homo sapiens (human)
Lineage: Eukaryota; Metazoa; Chordata; Mammalia; Primates; Hominidae
Description: HSALNT0376627
Source: RNAcentral